Molecule: transfer RNA, 72 nt
Filed under: Camelus bactrianus (Bactrian camel)
Lineage: Eukaryota; Metazoa; Chordata; Mammalia; Artiodactyla; Camelidae
Also listed under: 2 other names
Rfam family: tRNA
About the family: Transfer RNA (tRNA) molecules are approximately 80 nucleotides in length.
Source: Rfam by way of RNAcentral
GAGGAUACAGCUUAGGGGUAGAGUGCAUGCCUGGCAUGCAUGAGGUCCUGGGUUCAAUUCCCAGUAAUUCCA